AACGAAGUGAAAGUGUUUGUGCUGAGAGACACUGAAGGCUGAAGCUGCAUGUCUCUGUGUGAUGAGACACUUUAAACUGCUGCAGGUCUGGGUGCAGCGAGGUCACGCUCAGGAAACCAGUUUGAGAUGAUGGGACCUUUGAGGCAGGUGUCCUCACAGGGGACAAGUGACCUCAGUGUCAUUCGUUUUUUCUGUCAUCUUAUGUUAAAGGAAGGAAAUGUUACAGUGUGAACCUCUGUGAAGUUAUUUAUGUCCAUGUGUGUCAGGCAGAGCCUAAAGUUGAUCCUGUGGGCAGAGAUCCAUCAGGCAGAGGUGGAUCUCAUCAGGGUGAUGUCACGUACUCGCUUCAUCCUCCAGCUCUGGGAAACAAACCUGGUAAAGCCUCAGAGAUAUUUGAGGAUAUAAUGAAAUAUUCACGUGUGUCUCCUGCAGCGCCGCGAGCCAACACGUGUGUUUACUCUGUGAUCAAACUGCACCGACAGGAACCCUGAAGGAAAUCCUGAGGAUCAAACCUUCCACGCCUCCUGCUGCGAGCUUCUGCUCACGUUUCACUUUAACUUUCAAAAUUAUUUUGAUUCUUGGAAAUCAGUCAAAUCAAAUUAAUAUUCAUUGUGCUGGUUAAUAAAACAUAACAAUGAUGUCAUCGUGUUUACCUUUUGUUUGACUUUCACACAAACAUUCAGAGGAACAAAGAAAUAUCCAAUUAAAAUCUCAGCUAGUCCUUCAAAUCUUCUUCAUCUGAGAGCUUCCAGCUCCUCAUCAGAUCCAUGUGACACAGCAGACCUGCAGCGGGAGCACGCCUCUUUAUUUUCCAGGCCGCUGACACUCCCUGAGUCACUGAGGAUGAGGAAGGAGAGGAAGAGCGGUGCAGGGACAGACGGGCUCGAGGCACAUCGACAGCUCUGCAGCUCCACGUUUGUUCCUGAACAUGUUCACUCUGCUGGUCUCCUGUCACGUUUGGUUCCUGCUCUCAGGUCUGAUCGGCUGCACGGAAAACUCCACAGCGAUCUGGUUUUCAGUCCCUGAGAAUCACCACGUCUGUCUGCCCUGCGGCAGCUCUGGCAGCUCCGACGUGAUCUGGACUCUGCAGGAUCAGGAGGUCCUGGUGACCCGACGAGGCAGCUACAAGACCAACAAGGACCGCCAGCGCUACCUCCUCAUGGUUAAUGGCAGCCUCUGCAUCCUGCAUCUGGAGGAGUCGGAUCAUGGAGGAUACCGCUGUAACCAGCAGCUGGUGGCUGAGCUGCAGGUGCUGACAGGUCGGAACUACACGGUGUCCGCAGGCCGGACGCUGCUGCUCCCCUGCAGCGGCUCCUCCAAACCCAAACAGAGGUGGUUCCAGCAGAGGGAGGGCGAGAGGCGGGAGGCCGUCCUCACCAAGUACAGAAACGGUACGGUGAAACCAGAGAGGGGCGGCGGCCGGCUGAGCUUCACCAACGACGCCCUGCAGAUCCAGGACCUGCAGCCAGAGGACGCUGGAGAGUACGUCUGCAACGGGGUGCUGCAGGCCAGAGUCACGGUCCUCACAGCACACGCAGAGACGAGCAGCCAGCCUCCGUCCACCAGCACAACUCCAUCACCUGCAGUCGUGACAGCAGAAGUGGAAGAAAUAAAGAAGAAGAGCAACACGAGACCUGAGAACGUUCUGCUGCUGGUUGCUGUCGUCAGUGUGGGCUUGAUGAUCAUCUUCUUAGCUGCUGUCUGUGUGUUGCUGACCAGCAUGAAGUGCAGGAGGAAGAAACGCAGAGCUGCAGCACCGACACGUGACGACACGGAGCUGCAGCCGUGGACGACGUCCAGCGCACCGACAGAGGGUGAGGACUUAGAGACCCCGCCCCUCUGUGGGGAGACGAUCCACUACGCCUCUCUGGGCCGACAGAACUGGAGGGAGAGACCCAGCAGGAGUCCGCCGGAGCAGAGCCACCACAGCGUCAUCUACUCCUCCGUCAUCAGCAGACCUGCAGCGAGAGCUGAGCACAAACUCUGA
This 1987-nucleotide long non-coding RNA is filed under the name Oreochromis niloticus (Nile tilapia). RNAcentral describes it as "lncRNA (ENSONIG00000041371.1)". The record is from RNAcentral. Lineage: Eukaryota; Metazoa; Chordata; Actinopteri; Cichliformes; Cichlidae.